Molecule: long non-coding RNA, 255 nt
Organism: Saccostrea cuccullata (small rock oyster)
Lineage: Eukaryota; Metazoa; Mollusca; Bivalvia; Ostreida; Ostreidae
Exons: 3
Source: RefSeq, a predicted model, not a curated record
UUUGGUGACAGGUUCCAUUGCUGGAUGCGGAGUCUUCCAGCUUAUUGUAAUUGUCUUUGCCCUCGUCAUCUUUUGUGAUGCACGACAGGCAUCAAAAGUUGAUCCCAAACAAUGAUCUUUUAACAAUUCUUCAGCGCCAACUCCAAGAUAAAAUUUUCGAAGGAAACGGGAGAUUACUCUUUGGAAAAUUCUGCAUCCGUCAAAAAUUAAAUAAAAUAACCUUGUAUAUUUUUUUAAGAAGUGGGAAAAUUAUAA